RNAcentral lists this unclassified non-coding RNA (395 nucleotides) under soil metagenome. RNAcentral describes it as "partial contains 5.8S ribosomal RNA, internal transcribed spacer 2, and large subunit ribosomal RNA". The stretch from base 1 to 122 matches the Rfam family "5.8S ribosomal RNA", at positions 35 to 154 of the family's 154-position model. The record is from RNAcentral.
GAUGAAGAACGCAGCGAAAUGCGAUACUUGGUGUGAAUUGCAGAAUCCCGUGAACCAUCGAGUUUUUGAACGCAAGUUGCGCCCGAAGCCAUCAGGUUGAGGGCACGUCUGCCUGGGCGUCACAUAUCGUUGCCCAAUGCCUAUUGCAGUGCAAUAGGAAUUUCUAGGGCGAAUGAUGGCUUCCCGUGAGCGUUGUUGCCUCGCGGUUGGUUGAAAAUCGAGUCCUUGGUAGGGUGUGCCAUGGUAGAUGGUGGUCGAGUUAGAACGAUACCGAUCAUGUGCAUGCUCCCCAAAAUAUGGCCUCUAUGACCCACACGCGUCUUUUGACGCUCAUGACGAGACCUCAGGUCAGGCGGGGCUACCCGCUGAAUUUAAGCAUAUCAAUAAGCGGAGGA